UCGCCAUCAUCGAGCAGUCCGUGUCCCCCGGCGGCGGCGCGUGGCUCGGCGGCCAGCUCUUCUCCGCCAUGGUCGUGCGCAAGCCGGCGCACCUCUUCCUCGACGAGCUCAACAUCGAGUACGACGAGCAGGAGGACUACGUCGUCAUCAAGCACGCCGCGCUCUUCACCUCCACCGUCAUGAGCCGCCUCCUCGCGCGCCCCAACGUCAAGCUCUUCAACGCCGUCGCCGUGGAGGACCUCAUCGUCAAGGAGGACCGCGUCGCCGGCGUCGUCACCAACUGGGCGCUCGUCUCCAUGAACCACGACACACAGUCCUGCAUGGACCCCAACGUCAUGGAGGCCAAGGUCGUGGUGAGCUCCUGCGGCCACGACGGGCCCUUCGGCGCCACCGGGGUCAAGCGGCUCCAGGACAUCGGCAUGAUCCAGGCGGUGCCCGGGAUGAAGGCGCUCGACAUGAACACGGCCGAGGAUGCCAUCGUGCGCCUCACCCGCGAGGUUGUCCCCGGCAUGAUUGUCACCGGCAUGGAGGUCGCCGAGAUCGACGGCGCCCCGAGAAUGGUACUCCUAAAUCUUGCUUUCCUAUACACGCGUCCUCUUCUUGGAAGAAGAAGAAGAAUCUCUUUUCGACUUGUGCUGGACUGACCGGAUUAAUUUCGUUUGUCUUG
This 667-nucleotide long non-coding RNA is filed under the name Triticum aestivum (bread wheat). Its description in RNAcentral is "long non-coding RNA (TAES_LNC015038)". The record is from RNAcentral. Lineage: Eukaryota; Viridiplantae; Streptophyta; Magnoliopsida; Poales; Poaceae.